UUGGGGAGAUGCAAUAAAGUAAAUUAAUACCUCAGAGCUGCCAAAGUAAGAAAGGACCAUCUCUUUCCUGUGUCUAUACACUCUUGUCAUGGAUCUCGUGCCAGCUCUGGCAGCUGUUCAACCCUGAAAUACUGAGUAAGCCAGCAGGAAAUUGAGUUAGUUUUCCUAGGUUUUGCUGAGUUGAACAGACUUAUGAAGGAAUUUGACAUUUGCCUGAAUGGGUCAAUUGAAUGGCCAAGGCUGAAGUGAAGGGAGUAUGGGAAGGAGAGGACUGGAGAUGACAUCAUAUGUUGGGAGGGAAGAAAUAUAAGAAAGCAGUCAGUACACCAUUGAACAAUGGUAUGAGCUGACUUAAGUAAUCUUUGCAAUGUUCCUAGUUUUCUUCCUAAGAGUGGUAAAGUGUAGUUUAGGCAGAAGUGAACUAAUUUAACUUUUUAAAUGAGCCAUGUUUCAUAAGUAAACAACAAGUAAACAACAAGUUUCAUAAGUAAACAAUCUGGAGCUCUUUCCUAUUUUUAUCUUAUCUGACUAACUGAAAGGAGUCUUACAAUUUUUAAUUCAUUUAUAUCCAAUUACUCUUCUGUGAAUGUUUAAAAUUGUUGCCUGCUCUCCUACAGUGCUGUCCAUCAAUAAGGCCAGUGUUGCAUCUUCUGCAUUCCUCAGUAAUAGCAAGUAUUACUGAUAACUUCUGAGAGGAGAUAAUCAUGAAGAAAUCAUGAAGAAAUUAUCUUCAUGAUUAUUCAUAUGCAUGAAUUGAUUCUACUGAAUACAUGAACUAGUUCAGUGCACUACAAACAAAGACCAAUAUGUUCACUUUGAGUCUAAUGGAAAGCACCAGAAGGAAAUUUCUCAUGACGUAUCAGUAUUUCAGCAGUUGAUGGCAAUCAGAGUCAGCAAUUCUACUAAAAAAUUACUAUAGACAUUCAGGCAAGGUGUCAGAAGAGAGAAGGAUCCAAGGACACUUCCUUUCCAGCAUGAGAAGCCCAGUGCAGAGCUGCCUCCAUCUAUCCUGGAUAUUGUGCCAACACAGGACAAUAGUCAGUGGGACUAAAAAUAUGUCAAAAAACGUGUUCCCUUGAGGCGCUGUCUUUCAGAUGCUUUACUCAAAUUGUGUCAAAUUACCCUUGACUGUUGAAGUGGCUAAUCGUGAAAAAUAGGACUGGUCAUUUCCUACCUACUGAGUAAGUAUACAAUCUUCUCUAUUUCUACCAUAUCUUAGAGGAAAUAUAGUUCUAUACCAGAAAAUUAGUUUUACUGUAUCUUUCCCCUCUGCAAACAGUUGUAGGGCCAUGAUUUGAAGUCAACAAUGCCGAUAAAGACUUAGCUUUUACAAAAACAAUUCAGCAUUGAACUAAGAGAAACUCAAAUAUUUUGCUCAGACUAAUUUUAUAUACCCUGCAAAAAACAACUGAAGAGGUUUCAACGUUCUCAUAACAUAUUAUAUAAGGCGGGAAAUCUACUUUGUUAGCCUAAUCAACGUUCUGGUUAAAAACCAAAAAGCAUGCAUUGGAACUACUUGUCACAAUUCUGCCUUCA
RNAcentral lists this long non-coding RNA (1536 nucleotides) under Cyanistes caeruleus (blue tit). RNAcentral's name for it is "lncRNA (ENSCCEG00000016427.1)". The record is from RNAcentral. Lineage: Eukaryota; Metazoa; Chordata; Aves; Passeriformes; Paridae.